RNAcentral lists this long non-coding RNA (1013 nucleotides) under Mus musculus (house mouse). Its description in RNAcentral is "Hand2, opposite strand 1". Lineage: Eukaryota; Metazoa; Chordata; Mammalia; Rodentia; Muridae. The record is from RNAcentral.
ACGUUGCUAAUUGCCGAGGUCCUCUUCUAGGAUUGGUUGUCCACUCAUAACCAUAAGAUAAUUAAAACGGGGGGGGGCAGGGUAAAAAAAAAACCCUUUUAUCAGCCAUAGGUUAAUGCAAGUGUUUAACAGAUGCUUCGCUAUUAAAAUAUUUCCCCCCAAUACUGAAGAAUCUUAAACCAGCAACCCUAACAGAGAUUGCGAAGAUUUUCAAAGUGGGGCACCUCGAUUUCUCGAAUCUGUGGUGUGGCGAAUAUCCGUGUUCCUCCUGCUUAACUAGCCUGUUUGAAGGCACAGUUCAUUCUCGAGCAAUUCGUCACCUCCUGGGGGUCUUCUCUUCCCGUCUACAGGAGAGUGUGACUUCAGAAAGAACUUCGGAUUGGCCAAGGCCAUUAAAGCUGGUGAGCGACUUGGAAGUCAUUUAGAAAGGAACAGACCUUCAACCUCAAGCCUUUGCGGGCACUGGGAAAGUGUCUUCCCAAUCAAUCUGGCUUGCAGGCGGCAGGACCAACUCUGACCUGGCUUAUCUUGUACCCAUCCUAAAUACACCAAACUCAAGAGGUAGCCAGGGCCGCCUCAACACCGAGGUCUGAUUCUAUUUAUUCUAAAGACAGAGUUGGAGAUGGGCUACCAUUGGUGUUGAUUGAGAUGACAAGCAGUCACCUGAGCCCAUACAGCUGGGUUCACAGAUGUGGCUAGUCUUGCUAGCCAGCUCGCACUGUGGACAUUCUAGGGAACUGACUGCAGUCCUCAUGCUUGGAGUCAAACACUUUAACCACUGCACACGUUUAUGUAAUAGGAUUGACAUAUGAGAAUCAGAGAAAUGAAUGAAAGAUUAGAGUGGGAGAAAGUGCUUGCUGCCAAGCUUGAUGACCUAAAUUGAAUACCUGGAACCUACACGACAGAAAGAGAGAGCUGACUGCUGAAAGAUGUCCUCAGAUCUUCACAUGUGCACAGUGGCACCUAUCCAACCAUGCACAUAGUAUAUUAAAAAUUAUUUUUUAAAAAAUCCA